AACGCACAUUGCGCCCCUUGGUAUUCCAUGGGGCAUGCCUGUUCGAGCGUCAUUUACACCCUCAAGCUCUGCUUGGUGUUGGGCGUCUGUCCCGCCUCUGUGCGCGGACUCGCCCCAAAGGUAUUGGCAGCGGUCUUGCCAGCUUCUCGCGCAGCACAUUGCGCUUCUUGAGGCUCGAGCGGAUCGGCGUCCAGCAAGCCCACAUCACAGUUUGACCUCGGAUCAGGUAGGGAUACCCGCUGAACUUAA
RNAcentral lists this unclassified non-coding RNA (249 nucleotides) under uncultured Pleosporales. RNAcentral describes it as "sequence contains ITS2". The record is from RNAcentral. Lineage: Eukaryota; Fungi; Ascomycota; Dothideomycetes; Pleosporales.